GACGAACGCUGGCGGCGUGCUUAAUACAUGCAAGUCGAACGGACAGGCCCUGCUUUUGUUGGGUUCUCGAGUGGCGAACGGGUGAGUAACACGUGAGUAACCUGCCCUUGACUUUGGGGUAACUUCAGGGAACUGGGGCUAAUACCGGGUAGAAGCUCCUGCUGCACGGUGGGGGUUGGAAAGUUUCGGCGGUUGGGGAUGGAAUGGCGGCUUAUCAGCUGGUUGGUGGGGUAGUGGCUUACCAAGGCUGUGACGGGUAGCCGGCCUAAGAGGGUGACCGGCCACCUUGGGACUGAGAUACGGCCCAGACUCCUACGGGAGGCAGCAGUGGGGAAUAUUGCACAAUGGGCGGAAGUCUGAUGCAGCAACGCCGCGUGCGUGAUGACGGCCUUCGGGUUGUAAACCGCUUUCGCCGGUGACGAAGCGUGAGUGACGGUAAUGGGUAAAGAAGCACCGGCUAACUACGUG
Molecule: ribosomal RNA, 468 nt
Filed under: uncultured bacterium
Lineage: Bacteria
Description: partial 16S ribosomal RNA
Rfam family: Bacterial small subunit ribosomal RNA
Source: RNAcentral